AACGGUCUAUACCUGCGGUACCUGCGGAGGGAUCAUUACCGAGUUAUCAACUCCCAAACCCCUGUGAACAUACCCGAACGUUGCCUCGGCGGGACCGCCCCGGCGCCCCUAGCGGCCCGGAACCAGGCGCCCGCCGGAGGACCCAAACUCUUGCUUUAAACAGUGGCAUACUCUCUGAGUCUCACAAACAAAAAAUAAAUCAAAACUUUCAGCAACGGAUCUCUAGAUCGGAAGAGCACA
This 240-nucleotide unclassified non-coding RNA is filed under the name soil metagenome. RNAcentral's name for it is "partial contains 5.8S ribosomal RNA, internal transcribed spacer 2, and large subunit ribosomal RNA". The record is from RNAcentral.